Molecule: long non-coding RNA, 2596 nt
Filed under: Lathyrus oleraceus (garden pea)
Lineage: Eukaryota; Viridiplantae; Streptophyta; Magnoliopsida; Fabales; Fabaceae
Description: Pisum sativum (pea) long non-coding RNA (PSAT_LNC011211)
Source: RNAcentral
UCGAGCCCAACUCUCUCGUUCUCUCAACACAAACGCCUCAAAACCCUAGGCCUCUCACCUGGAAGGAUGAAACUUCCAUAUUUUUGAUGAACAUACCAAGAACUAACAAUAACCUCUCCCUUGUAUUUCCAGAUUAUCCCUAAACUCACCAAAGCAAGAAGUAAAUAACGUAAUCCUUCACUAAUUCCCCCUAAAUACGAAUCUAUCAACUAUUCUCACAAACCAUUAAUUGUGGAUACGAAUUGAAGACUUGGAAAACCGAAUCCCGAAGUUCUAAGUUAGCCAAAAUGCACAUGUUAAGCACAAAAUUGGGACGGGGAAUCAUACAAAGCGUCUUCAGAAGCAAAAUAUUCCACCAAUUAAGCACGAAAUCGCAAAAAAAAAAAAGUACCAAAUCGGAGUAAGGAGGAGCUCUGGCACGGCGGUUCUUCUGCUCAGGCGACAAUGGUGGAUUCACAUGUACUACUUCUUCUCUCUUUUUCUCAGUUCCUCUUCUCACCUUCUUCUACUUCGUCGUUCUUUUCCUCGAAUUUGCUGUGAAGUGUUUUGAUGAGAAUUAAUGGUGAUUCUGCUUGUGAAUAUUGAAGAGUGGAGAUGUGGAACUGAGGUAGCUAGAAGGUGACACAUGGCAAGGCUUUGUUUAGUACAGCUGAAGCUUAGAGGUGAAACUUCAAUGGUGGUGUUAGUGCUCUAGGUGAAGGUAGCUAAUUUAGGGAGUGAAGAACUUUGAAGAAUCCAACUCUGAAGUUUUAUGGUGAAAAAAUGAAUCCCCCUGAGAAUGAACUAGGUGAGUUCCAUUUAUAGAAUUUUCUACCCUCCAAAUUCUGUUACAAAUUCGGUUAGAAGUUGAAUUGGAUGGAAAAUGGAAGUUAGGAGUUAGUUAACAAUUAGUUUGGAUGGAAAGUUUGUUAGAGGUUGGUUAACAAUGUUAGACAUUCAGUUAUGAUGUUGUUAGGAAUUUUGGUUAGUGAAAAACGAAGGUUAUUUAAUGCAGUUAGUGAAGUUGAGAAGGAUUGAAGUCAGUUGCUUGUUAAAAUUGUUAGUGUGAUGAGCUCAUUUAAUGAAUUUACUAAUGCAUUGCAAAUGUUUGAAUGAAUCUGAGUAUGAAUUAGAUUGAGGUUAGUUAAAUUUUAAGUUUAAUGUUAGUGUUUAGGAAAGUUAGAAAGAGUUAGUUGGGAUUGAAAAUCUGUUAGGAGAUAGUUUGAACUGAACUUUGCAGUUAGUUUGCAUACUGAUGAUUGUGAGGUUAAGAAUCAAUUCACAUGUUAAUACUCUUUUGAAUUUUAGUUAGGAUUGUGAAUCAGUUAACUUUCCAGUUGAAUUUUGUAGUAGGUUUGAGGUUUGAAUUAAAAUUAUCUAUAUGUGAUAGACACUAUGCAAGUUGGCAGUUAGGGGGUUGAUUUAUUUGAAUGUGAAAUCAGAACUGUUAUGUGACAAUGCAUUGCUAUGAAGUUGAGUUAUGAAUGAUACUGUUAUACUUUGAAUUGUUAUUUUAGUGCUUAGUUGUAAUCUAAGAAUGUGUUAGGGUUCUGUUAGUUAGAAUUGAACUGUUUGUGAAGGUUUUUAGAGUUAGUCUUGUUAAAGGUCCUGUUAUGGAAUUAUGAAAUGUAACUCUAUUAGUUAUUUAGGAAAUUUGGUUAGGAUGUUAUGUAUGAACUAAGUGUAUUUGUAAACCUAAUUGAAUGUUAAUUGAGCUAUUAUGCUGCUUUGGUGAAUGUUAAUGAAUUUUGCAUUGUUUUUUGGUAAUGAAAUAGUUAUGGUGAUUUGAAUGGAAGUUAACUAGCUAUUGAUGAAUGUAAGUUGGUUUAAAGUUUAGAAAAACUUAAUAGAACUAUUAUGCAUGAAAUGGCUAUGCUGAAAUGAUGUUUGAACAAGUUUGCAGUGCCCUUAGAUCAAUGGAGUGACUGCCAAUUUGUUAGGGCUGCUAGUGAGUUGAUAGAAGCUAAUGACAAUUAGCAAUUUUCAACCGUUAGUAUGAUGGUGCAUUACUUGGACUUUCAUUAUUGGAUAUGGACAUGACAUAAAGAAUAUUUUUGUAUUUGACAUGAAUGUUUUGAUGAAUUGCAGGCUGUUAUUUAUGUGAGUCUUGAAGCAUCAUUCAUGAAGUUCCUCUCUUGCCAUUUCAUCGCUCUAGGAAGUGGACUACCGAUACCAGCAAUCUGAGACAAUCCUCUCUUGCCAACUGUUGGAAAAUACUCAUGAACCCAACAUUGUUGCACAACAUGAAUAUUAUCAAUUAAAAUUAUUAUAAAUAAGUUAAUAUAAGUCAAAAUAAAAUUAAAAUUAAACAUUUGUACCUGUAGCAAAAAGGCAUAUCCCCUAAGUUGCUUGGAAGUAUAAAAGGAAGCAUCCCCUAGAUAUUUGUAGAGUGUGACAAGUGCAUAUAGGCUAUAACUGCACAGUCAAAUCUACUCUCAGCUCGUUGACGCGUAAAAAUGGUGCAGCCUACCAACAAUAGCAUAUACGCUAUAAAAAUCUAUUCUCAGCUCGCUGACGCGUAAAAAUCUCCUUCAACCAAUCCAACCUAUAAUAAUCACCCAUACAAAACAUCUCUAAUUGUCUCCUCCAACAAAAUACCCAAUAGAUCAAUAUCCAG